AAAUUCUUCUGUUAAAAAUAAAAAGUCAAACCUUUUUUUGUUUUGUUUUUCUUUUUUCUUCUGAGGAGAGACUGAAAUCUUCAAGUGGAAAUAAAUCAGAAGCCCAAAUAAAUCUUCUGCUCCAGAAACUCAUUUACUGGCUAUGCAACACCAGCUGUUUGAAUGCAGUUUGCGUGUUGGAAACCAACACAGCAAGUGCAGGGCUUUGGACUGCAAAGAACACCAGGUGCCCAAAUCACUGCUUUCUGCAGAGACAGGCAAGAGUCCAGACUCAGCAUGAAGGUGCUUUGCUCAUUCCUGCGUGACCCAAACAUGCUCCUAAACCAGACUGAGGCUCCCAGGAGCCUUUGCCUUUAGGUUUGUGUCAGAUGAAUCCUAUUUGGGCAGAAAUUUGCUCUCAGGACCACCACCACCCCUUCCAGGUUUCAUGGGGGGGAGGACCUCAGUGCAAUCGUAGUGGCUCAGACAUACCCUGUCCCUGUGCUCUGGUGGUAUUGCAUCCAGUCAGCAUUGGGAAUUUCUAACCCAAUCUACAAAGGUACCCAACAUCAGUUGUUUUUAAUAACGCAUUUGGUUUUGGCCAAGAAAUUGCAGAUUUGUGCAUGUAAUGUAGAGGUUGUACGUGUAACACAGAGGUUCUUGUGGCUCACCUGUGUAUCAAAAUCCACUCUGAUGCAUUAGGAUUUAAUUACGAAACACUGCUGGCCCCGACUCCAUUACAAUGUAAUUAAAAAAGCUUUGGGAUAUCGGACAAGGAGCUGAUGGGGCUCAUUUUUGCCAGAAUGGAUAAAAUUCCUCCCUACAAGGCAGUUCUUCUCACCCAACUGAGCUGCUUUCUACUUACAAGCAGCUCUGAAUGCCUUCAAAACACAAGGGCCUGACCCCAGGCUGGCUGAAAUCAAGGGAAAGACUCAGAGCUCGGAUGCUGGAGCCAAAAAUCUCUUUUCAUUGGGAUUACAGAAUGAACUAUCGCACUGCUUAAGUUUCCCCUUUGACUGUGUAUGUUUUCUGGCUAAUACAGU
This 1022-nucleotide long non-coding RNA is filed under the name Phasianus colchicus (ring-necked pheasant). Its description in RNAcentral is "lncRNA (ENSPCLG00000006552.1)". Lineage: Eukaryota; Metazoa; Chordata; Aves; Galliformes; Phasianidae. The record is from RNAcentral.